RNAcentral lists this long non-coding RNA (794 nucleotides) under Mus musculus (house mouse). RNAcentral's name for it is "RIKEN cDNA 1700112D23 gene". The record is from RNAcentral. Lineage: Eukaryota; Metazoa; Chordata; Mammalia; Rodentia; Muridae.
GCACUUCCGGCGUGCAGAGCUGCCUGCAGUCGACUGUUUGAAGCUUCGCAGUGUUCCCGGGCGAGAUGCAUCCUCAUCUUCAGUUCGGCGCCCAGUUGACCUUGGGGACGACUAUUAGGACCAGAGCUCUGGAUUCCCAAAGCCUCAGGACCUAACUGAUAUCAGGCACUAUGCUCAUUCUACAAAGAGAUCAUGUUUGCAGAGUACUGACCACCAUCCAGGAAGAGAAGCUUUGUUUCUGAUGAGGCCUUUCCGGGGAUGGGAUCACCAAGGCAGAGCUCAGCACUUCCUGAGAAUGCCAGCAUCCUCAAGAACAAAGCUAGUGAAGCUAAGAAGCAACGAUUGAGAGCGCCUCACAGAGCCUCUCCCACUAGACUGAGACCUUCUUUUUCCUGUUUGGAGUUUUGGCUGCAUGUGCCUGUGCAUUGUGUGUGCAAUGUUCAUGGAGGCCAGAAGAGAGCAUCAGAUCGCCUAGAACUGCAGUUACAUAUGGUUGAUGAGCUGGGACUCAAACCUUGGUCUUCUGGAAGAGCAGCUAGUACACAUAACUACAGAGCCUUCUCUUCAGGACCACACUAAGGGCUAUUUUUCUUUCUUUCUUUUUUUUUUUAGAACCUACUUCUGACCUACUGAAAGCUACAACUGCAAACAUAUGCACUGAGUGUCAUUAACACUGUUUCUUGAGGGGGAGUACGGUUCUGAGUGAAUCUGAAUGUGGGAAAUGAGGGAGAGAUGAUAUCUGAAAACCUCUGUAAGUUGCCUCAUGCUGCCUAAUAAAGAAUGAAUAAAGUAAG